This 406-nucleotide ribosomal RNA is filed under the name uncultured bacterium. RNAcentral's name for it is "partial 16S ribosomal RNA". It matches the Rfam family "Bacterial small subunit ribosomal RNA", at positions 30 to 526 of the family's 1533-position model. The record is from RNAcentral.
AUUGAACGCUGGCGGCAGGCCUAACACAUGCAAGUCGAACGAGUGGCGGACGGGUGAGUAAUGUCUGGGAAACUGCCUGAUGGAGGGGGAUAACUACUGGAAACGGUAGCUAAUACCGCAUACCAUCAGAUGUGCCCAGAUGGGAUUUGCUUGUUGGUGGGGUAACGGUUCACCAAGGCGACGAUCCCUAGCUGGUCUGAGAGGAGGACCAGCCACACUGGAACUGAUACACGCUCCAGACUCUUACGUGAUGCAGCAGUGGGGAUUAUUGCACAAUGGGCGAAAGCCUGAUGCAGCCAGGCCGCGUGUAGGAAGAAGUCCUUCGGGUUGUAAAGUACUUUCAGCGGGAAGGCGUUACCCGCAGAAGAAGCACCGGCUAACUCCGUGCCAGCAGCCGCGGUAAUAC